Molecule: long non-coding RNA, 4866 nt
Organism: Magnolia sinica
Lineage: Eukaryota; Viridiplantae; Streptophyta; Magnoliopsida; Magnoliales; Magnoliaceae
Exons: 2
Source: RefSeq, a predicted model, not a curated record
ACAUGCUCCCAAAUCUGGGCCAUGGCCCAUGUUUCAACUUGAACACCUGCAAGCAUCUCGAAUUGAUGACUUGAUCUUUUACACGCCAGUUGCAAGAAGUCCAUCAUAAAUAGAGUUUUUUUUUUUCUUUCUUGAUUAUCAUUCCAUCAUUUUCUUGAUAACUGAAUUGGACAUAAUUACAAGGUCAUCUGUUUUGCCAUCUCAGUUUUAUUAAAUAAAAUGAUAAUAAUACAUUAUUUAGAUGGUUCUUUGGUGGUGCUCCCAUUCCUGAGUUUUGUUGCUCCACCCCUGUGCCCAAAUGUGCUCAUGCUUCUUGCAACUAAGCCUCCAUUACUCUGCAUGGGCUAUCAUUUUCAGAGCUUUGCGAAGUCCAUCAUGUGUACAAGGAAUACUGUCUACACGUCAUCACAUGUGCCAGCGCGGCCAAUAGGUGCAGUAUCCAAGCCAUCCAUCAGGUUGGUCUAACCCUUUAGUUAUUCUCGCCUAAAAGUAAAUCUAGUCCAUUCAGCAGCUGGGCUGCGAUGUUAGAAACAAUUAAUGGGUAAGAAAAGUCCGGCCAUUUGUUUUCCCCCUUUUAGAUGUAAUAUGUAGUUUAGAGAAAUGUGUGUGUGUGUGUGUGUGUGUGUGUGUGUGCAAUCCCGAGGAGUACCGUAUUUUUGUUUCAUGAUUAUAUAAGAGUGAAUAAUUCAUUGGAGCUAACACGAAUGACUAUUGUGCCCUAGAAGUCUUUCCCUUGUCUUCCUCUCUUCUUCCUUCUCUUUUAUCUCUCUCUUCUUUUCCUUUUAUCCUUUAUCCUUUCUUCUAUCUCCAUUCCUACUUUCUACUUGGUAUUGGAGCCAAGCUUCAGGGUUGGUUGAAGGUGUUCUUAGUGGUGUCCAUUGCUGAUGUCAUCACGCUGUACGGGUGAUAUCAGCAGUGUACCAUGGAAUGGCUCAGUGAAGAAGAAAAGUGUAGGAUUUGGGAGAGGAUGAAUUGAGCAGAAUUAUGGUGAUCUUUUGGGGAUUUUAUGGCAAGUAUUUGGUGGCGUUUUAUUUGAAAUAGAAAAAUUUCGGAAAAAGUGUCCAAUUUGUUUUGUUGAUUCUGUUUUUCGUGUGUGGGUUUUUUUUUUUUUUUUUCACAUUGAUUUGAUACGGUUGAGCAUGUGCAAUCUCUUUAGUAAAUUUUUUUUUUUGACUUUCCAUUGAGAUUUGAGAGAGUCAUAUGAUUUUUUUGUGGAGGGAAGUUGCCGUACGACCCAUGUUGAAGGUCUUUUGCUGAUGCUUUGGGUUGAUGUUCUCAUAUAGAAACUCCGUGGUGUGUUAGGGCUAUAUAUGCACUUAUAUGUGAGUAGCUACGAGCACCUUGUUUAUGUUCUUGUGUAGUUUCAAGUAGCUGGAGAGUUAACCACGCAAUAUGCAAGGUGCUUCUUUUUCAUUCAAGUGAUAACUCAAAUUCUUUGAUGAUUCAAAGAGCAGUCAAUGUUGUUAGAUUGAAUGAUAAUUCGUGUUUGCGGAUUACCACCGUCAAGUUUGAUGGUGAAAAUUAUUUAGCUUGGUCCAAGUCCAGCCUGUAUGUUCAUUUGGAGUCUUGGAGGAAGAAAGGAUAUCUAGACGCGACCAUUUUGGAACCUGAGAAAAUUGACCCUACUCAUACAGAUUGGGUAGCUGGGAAUAUUAUGAUAAUGAGCUGGUUACUUCACUAGAUGAAGCUUGAAAUUAGUGACAUGUUUAUGUACUAUGAAUCCGCUAAAGAGAUUUGGGACUCCGUUGCUGCUGCUUACUGGCUCGUGUGUUUUAGUUAACAUGAGAGAUUGCAAAUUUUCGUCAGGGGGAGAGAUCCUUGGAGAUUACUUUACGGUUCUUGGAGGGUUAUGGUUUGAGUUGGUCCAUUGUAGAUUGAUCUGACAAUGUUGUGCAUAGUAGUGUUGGGAGUAGAUUCUUAGUUGGGAGCCACUUCUCAUAGAACAGUCUUUUCUUUGCUUCAGCAAGAAGAAAGUCAUCAGAAAGUGAUGUUGGAUGUUGCUUCCAGUUCUUGUGACAGAUCUAUGCUGCUUAGUGUAGUGAUUGGCUGUCGUAGUGGACAGGGUUGAGGAGAUGUUGGGAAAGGAUGUGCUGCUCUGAGUCGUAGUCGUAUUGAUGUGGGACAUCGUCGUAUUGAUUUUGGUCAAGGUUGGUGUAUCUGUUCAGUGACGAGCACAACAAUCUAGUGUAUACCCCAUUGUGCCCUAGACAUACUCGAUAGACCUGUUGGGAUCUAGACAUCUAGUUUUUCGACCCGCAAGGAUGGGUUAUGUUGCUGCUACAGACACUCCUGACUCUGUUCAUGAUGAGUCGCAGAAGCUGAUGUCUUCAAGUGGUACGCAACGAUCCUUAGUUGAAGACAUUGUGAACCUGAAUUGUCAUUGGCUCUUCUGGAAGGGUCCUUUUAUAUUUCAUGAGGUAUAUCUGCAUAUGCACAUCUAACGUCCUCUUCUGCCAGUCAGUCCUGGAUCAUGGAUUCUGGCCCCACAGAUCACAUGACUGGUAUGACUUCAUAGUUCCUCUCCUAUUCAUCAUUGCCUAGAUCUAACAGUAAUGUCAAAAUUGCCUAUGGUCUCUAUACUCGUGUUAAAGGCAUCGGUACUGUUAAUGUUUCUCCAUCCUUAUCCUUGUCCUUUGUUCUUCAUGUUCCAAAGUUAUCCUCAAAUUUAUUACGUCUUACUUGGUCUCUUAACUGUAGUAUAGCUUUCUUUCCUUCUUAUUUUGCCUUUCAUGACUUGACAACUAGACAGGAUUCCAUUUCAAAUAAAAAAAAAAAAAAAACCCCCAACCAGACAGGAUUGGGGAUGGGCGUGAAUGCGGAGGGAUCUAUCUCAUUCAACCCCCAGAUGAUGUUGACUCGGCCUUCCAAACUUCUUGUCAUGUUAUGUCAACUACUAAUCGGAUUUUGUACUGCCAUCGGUGUAUUGGGCAUAUUCCGACUGGUAUUAUGAAGUUGUUGCUUCCUUUUUUGUUUAAGUAUAUGGUAGUUUGAGUGAACUAUUUUGUGAAAUAUGUUAACUCACCAAACAUUGUCUUCUUAUCCUGGUAGCUCUAAAAUGUGAUGCACCCUUCACUCUUAUUCAUUCUGAUGUCUUGGGGCCAUUCUCCAGUUACCAUUGUAUUUAGUUACUGAUAUUAUGUGUCCUUUAUUGAUGAUCCCACUCGCAUUACUUGGGUAUGUCUUAUGAAAUCUAAGGAUAAAGUCUUCUACAUCUUUUGGAUUUUUCAUAAGAUGGAAGAUGGUAGGGAAUCAAUUCGAGGCCAAAAUAAAGAUUUUAAGAUCUAGUGGUGGCUAUGAAUACAUCUCAUCAGCAUUUCAGAACUACUUGAACAUGGUAUUGAAUCUUUUAGACCAUACUUCCAUAUACCCAAAACAAAAUGGAGUGGCUGAGAAAAAGAAUAGGCACCUCCUUGAAGUUGCUCGAGCUCUCCUAAUUGAAAGGAAUGUUCCCAAGAACUUAUGGGCUAACGCUGUCUUUAGUGCAGCCUAUUUGAUUAAUAGGAUGCCCACUAGGAUCCUUGGAGGUAAGAUCCCCAUUCAAGUUCUACAUCUGGUUAAACCUCUCUUUCCUAUUCCUCCUAGAGUUUUUGGAUGUAUGUGCUUUGUUCAUGUUCCUGGUAUCCAUCGAGAUAAGCUUGAUGCAAAGUCCAUCAAAUGUAUCUUCUUAAGGUUAUUCUAGUAAUAAAAAGGAUACAAAUACUUUGCUCACAGAAUCCUAAACAAACGGUUUGUUCCAAUGGAUGUCACCUUCUUUGAGGAUGUUUUAUUUUAUUCAUCUGAAGGGAAGUUUCUUGUUCCUCCUUUGGAGAGUCUUUCAUGACUUCUUGCUUUUUUCUUUGGACACGCACACACACCUACACACUCAUGCCGUAGUGGGAUUUCACCACCUAUGGGUACUCGAACCCUUGACCUUGGUGUUGAAACUCUGUGAGUCUACCACUGGGGCAAGAGUAAGGACCCCAUGACUUCUUGCUUCUUCCUAUACUGGAAAUUUCCUACACAUUGUCUCAUCUUGGUUCUGUGCCCACCUUUCCUCCAUGUGAGUGACCACCUCAUUCUAUUGGUGGCCUAAAGGCAUAUGUUUUUUUUUUGAAAGAUGAAGGGAUUCAUUAAGAAAAAGGCCAAAAACAAAGAGAAUGGCUGCUGAGUAAGCAGCCCACAAUUACAGGCGUAAGAAGAAAAAGUCUUGACCAUAAAGGUCCUUAAUGUUUGAGGCUCACUCAAUCAUCAGAUGCUUGGCCUUAGUUGCCACUGAGCCAGCCAUAUUAGAAAUAUUCUUGAAGCAUCUACUAUUCCUCUCCCCCCACACCGACCACCAAACCGCAAGAACAGACAUCCUCCGGAUAAUUGUCUUCACCCUGCCAAUAUGCACCCCGUGCCACGCUUGAAGGAACUGGCUUACCUCACCCAGAAAGCACCAAUGUAAAUUGAACUCAUUCAUAAUCUCAACCCAAAUGGAUCGAACGAACAGACAAUGCAGCAACAGAUGGUCCACUGUCUCUUCAGCUUGCAUGCAGCAUAAGCAUAUGUUGGGGAGGACCAUCCCCUUCUUCCUCAGAUUGUCCACCGUAAGGAUUUUCUUAUCUUUCUCUCCCUAACUCUCUAAUCCACUGCUCUAGACUCGGUAUGACUUCACAUUCUAAUUCUCUUAAUGUUCCUAUUGCAUUGCAUAAAGGGUAGAGGUCAUGUACUACUCAUCCAAUUGCCAACUUUCUUUCCUAUGAUUCUCUUUCUCCCUCAUAUUGUGCAUUUCUUUCCCACAUUUCUACCAUGUUAGUUCCUUCUAGUGUUUGUCUUGCUCUCAUGCUCCCUGAGUGGAAACAAGGUAUGUUGGGAGGAGAUGAGUGACCUUGAAAAAAAAAUAAA